GAUGAACGCUGGCGGCGUGCCUAAUACAUGCAAGUCGAGCGAACAGACGAGGAGCUUGCUCCUCUGACGUUAGCGGCGGACGGGUGAGUAACACGUGGAUAACCUACCUAUAAGACUGGGAUAACUUCGGGAAACCGGAGCUAAUACCGGAUAAUAUAUUGAACCGCAUGGUUCAAUAGUGAAAGACGGUUUUGCUGUCACUUAUAGAUGGAUCCGCGCCGCAUUAGCUAGUUGGUACGGUAACGGCUUACCAAGGCAACGAUGCGUAGCCGACCUGCGAGGGUGAUCGGCCACACUGGAACUGAGACACGGUCCAGACUCCUACGGGAGGCAGCAGUAGGGAAUCUUCCGCAAUGGGCGAAAGCAUGACGGAGCAACGCCGCGUGAGUGAUGAAGGUCUUCGGAUCGUAAAACUCUGUUAUUAGUGAAGAACAAAUGUGUAAGUAACUAUGCACGUCUUGACGGUACCUAAUCAGAAAGCCACGGCUAACUACGUG
RNAcentral lists this ribosomal RNA (497 nucleotides) under uncultured bacterium. RNAcentral's name for it is "partial 16S ribosomal RNA". It matches the Rfam family "Bacterial small subunit ribosomal RNA", at positions 28 to 507 of the family's 1533-position model. The record is from RNAcentral.